UGGCGACCGGCGCACGGUGAGUAACGCGUAUGCAACUUACCUAUCAGAGGGGGAUAGCCCGGCGAAAGUCGGAUUAAUACCCCAUGAAACAGGGGUCCCGCAUGGGAAUAUUUGUUAAAGAUUCAUCGCUGAUAGAUAGGCAUGCGUUCCAUUAGGCAGUUGGCGGGGUAACGGCCCACCAAACCGACGAUGGAUAGGGGUUCUGAGAGGAAGGUCCCCCACAUUGGUACUGAGACACGGACCAA
RNAcentral lists this ribosomal RNA (245 nucleotides) under uncultured bacterium. Its description in RNAcentral is "partial 16S ribosomal RNA". It matches the Rfam family "Bacterial small subunit ribosomal RNA", at positions 89 to 334 of the family's 1533-position model. The record is from RNAcentral.